AACAUUAAAGUUAUCAAAAGCUACAUUUUUGUGAUGGCACUCAUUUAUCUGAUUAUUUCCUUAAUGGUAAAAUAAAUAUGACUGGAUGGUCUCAAAAUAUUAUACUCAUGUGUUCAUUGUGGCAUUUUAUAGAACUAACACACAUUAUAGAUUUUAAAAGUUAGUUAUGUUUGUCAGUGCUCAUAUUUUGAAUAUUCUACUGGGAAACAGUUUUACUAUCAAAGUUCCACCAACUAUUUGCUUAGUAUUUUGAAAUAUUUUGUGAAUGUUCGUAUUAGCAUUAGGAGACUACCAACGGUUCAGAGCAUGUAGUUUACCCAUUUUGAUUAUUUUUACUUUGUGAAAGGUUUUAGGAGAUAAGUUACAUUUCUUUUAGUAUUUUUUUCCUAUAAUAGAAAGAAUCUUAAUUACUGAAAAUAUUCACACUUGUAAAUUAAAGGUAAACAUAAACUGAAAGUGUCAAUACAUAUAAAAUAUUUUAAUUAUAAUAAACCUUACUCAGAAUACUUUCAGAAUUUGGAUUACAGUAAUAUUAGAAGUGGAUUUGUUGCCCUAAUAUAUAAAUGCAU
This 569-nucleotide long non-coding RNA is filed under the name Bos taurus (domestic cattle). RNAcentral describes it as "long non-coding RNA NONBTAT025252". The record is from RNAcentral. Lineage: Eukaryota; Metazoa; Chordata; Mammalia; Artiodactyla; Bovidae.